AGGACGAACGCUGGCGGCGUGCUUAACACAUGCAAGUCGAGCGGUAAGGCUCCUUCGGGAGUACACGAGCGGCGAACGGGUGAGUAACACGUGAGCAAUCUGCCCUUCACUUUGGGAUAACUUCCGGAAACGGAGCUAAUACCGAAUACGACCAUUACAGACAUCUGUUGAUGGUGGAAAGUUCCGGCGGUGAAGGAUGAGCUCGCGGCCUAUCAGCUUGUUGGUGAGGUAACGGCCCACCAAGGCGACGACGGGUAGCCGGCCUGAGAGGGUGACCGGCCACACUGGGACUGAGACACGGCCCAGACUCCUACGGGAGGCAGCAGUGGGGAAUAUUGGGACAAUGGGCGAAAGCCUGAUCCAGCAACGCCGCGUGAGGGAUGACGGCCUUCGGGUUGUAACCUCUUUCAGCAGGGACGAAGCGAGAGUGACGGUACCUGCAAAGAAGCACCGGCCAACUACGUGUCCAGCAGCCGCGGUAA
Molecule: ribosomal RNA, 482 nt
Filed under: uncultured bacterium
Lineage: Bacteria
Description: SSU rRNA
Rfam family: Bacterial small subunit ribosomal RNA
Source: RNAcentral